RNAcentral lists this transfer RNA (80 nucleotides) under Prosthecomicrobium pneumaticum. RNAcentral describes it as "tRNA-Ser". The record is from RNAcentral. Lineage: Bacteria; Pseudomonadati; Pseudomonadota; Alphaproteobacteria; Hyphomicrobiales; Kaistiaceae.
GCCGAAAUGGCAGGAUAUCAGCGGUUCCGGUCAGACUGAAAAUCCGCGUGUCGGUGGUUCGAUUCCGCCCCUGGGCACCA